RNAcentral lists this ribosomal RNA (460 nucleotides) under uncultured bacterium. RNAcentral's name for it is "partial 16S ribosomal RNA". It matches the Rfam family "Bacterial small subunit ribosomal RNA", at positions 338 to 795 of the family's 1533-position model. The record is from RNAcentral.
CCUACGGGGGACAGCAGUGAGGAAUAUUGGUCAAUGGACGAGAGUCUGAACCAGCCAAGUAGCGUGAAGGAUGACUGCCCUAUGGGUUGUAAACUUCUUUUAUAUGGGAAUAAAACGCUCCACGUGUGGGAUUUUGUAUGUACCAUAUGAAUAAGGAUCGGCUAACUCCGUGCCAGCAGCCGCGGUAAUACGGAGGAUCCGAGCGUUAUCCGGAUUUAUUGGGUUUAAAGGGAGCGUAGGUGGAUUGUUAAGUCAGUUGUGAAAGUUUGCGGCUCAACCGUAAAAUUGCAGUUGAAACUGGCAGUCUUGAGUACAGUAGAGGUGGGCGGAAUUCGUGGUGUAGCGGUGAAAUGCUUAGAUAUCACGAAGAACUCCGAUUGCGAAGGCAGUUCACUGGACUGCAACUGACACUGAGGCUCGAAAGUGUGGGUAUCAAACAGGAUUAGAUACCCUAGUAGUC